CGGACGGGUGAGUAAUGUCUGGGAAACUGCCCGAUGGAGGGGGAUAACUACUGGAAACGGUAGCUAAUACCGCAUAACGUCGCAAGACCGAAGAGGGGGACCUUCGGGCCUCUUGCCAUCGGAUGUGCCCAGAUGGGAUUAGCUAGUAGGUGGGGUAACGGCUCACCUAGGCGACGAUCCCUAGCUGGUCUGAGAGGAUGAUCAGCCACACUGGGACUGAGACACGGCCCAG
RNAcentral lists this ribosomal RNA (232 nucleotides) under uncultured bacterium. RNAcentral describes it as "partial 16S ribosomal RNA". It matches the Rfam family "Bacterial small subunit ribosomal RNA", at positions 99 to 334 of the family's 1533-position model. The record is from RNAcentral.